AGAAAAUAGAUACCCCGGUAGUCUACGCCCUAAACGUUCUUCUCUGGCUUUGGGGAGUAUCGACCCUUCCCGAGGCGAAAGCUAAACGCGUUAAAGAGAAAGCGCCUGGGUAGUACGAGCGCAAGCUUAAAACUCAAAGGAAUAGACGAGGACUUGCACAAGCGGUGGAUUAUGCGGUUUAAUUCGAUGACAAACGAAGAACCUUACCAAGAUUAGAAAUCCAGGGGAAGAAUAUAGAAAUAUAAACGUCCGCAAGGACUCCUGGACAGGUGAUGCAUGGCCGUCGUCAGUUCGUGAUUUGAAAUUGUUCCCUUAAGUGGGGUAACGAACGCAACCCUCGUUGACUGUUACACGUAUCAGUCGAGACCGCUCAGCUCUGAGUUUAUAAACAAACGUUUGUAAAUUGAGAGCUGAGAGGAAGUGAGGAUGACGCCAGGUCAGCAUGUCCCUCUGACAUCUUGGGCUACACGCAUAAUACAAUGGCCGAGACAACGGGUCGCGACGUCGUAAGACUGAGCCAAUCCUUUAAACUCGGCCCAGUUCGGAUUGGGGGCUGCAAC
RNAcentral lists this ribosomal RNA (560 nucleotides) under uncultured bacterium. RNAcentral's name for it is "bacterial SSU rRNA". It matches the Rfam family "Bacterial small subunit ribosomal RNA", at positions 774 to 1311 of the family's 1533-position model. The record is from RNAcentral.